Echinops telfairi (small Madagascar hedgehog) is the source of this 1552-nucleotide long non-coding RNA. RefSeq lists it as uncharacterized. The transcript has 3 exons. Lineage: Eukaryota; Metazoa; Chordata; Mammalia; Afrosoricida; Tenrecidae. The record is from RefSeq and is a predicted model, not a curated record.
UUUCCAUAAUAUGGAAUGAUACCUUGGAGAAAAUUAGAUUGAAUAUUCAUAUCUAAUAUCCCCAAAGUAUCUAAUGAGUCUUCUGUGUUUCCUUCAACAAAACCAUUGCCAUUUCCUCUGCAGGUGAUUCAAUAUGAUGCUUCCAUAAUGACGGUGGCUGGCUUCAGCUGGGUUCACCUCUGAACUAUGGGCUUCCUCCAAGUGUAGGCCGAAAUUUGCCUCAGUACAUCUCCGGCAAGUGUCUGCUUGCACAGAUGUGCGUCUGUCUGUGCUGGGUGAACCCAAAACAGGAGUAGUGCCAGAUUGGCCCCAGCACUGAGAUGAGUAAUGGGGGCUAAGUGCAGAAGGUAAAGCCUUUCCACCUGAGGCAUUUGAUUAUUAAUGUUUCGCUAAUGGCAUUAAAUGAGGGUACGAUCAACGGAGCACGUUUGCCUUGCGAAAUUACAGUAAAUACUUUAUUUUUGCAGAUAUCAUUGGCUAACGAAACACAUACUCGUGGCUUUUCCUAAAGCUCAAAACUAAACAUUCUGGUAUGUGAUCGAGAGAGAGAGAGGUGUUAUUCUAAAGGAAGCAAUCUGUCGACACAGAAUCACAGCUUUUGCCUAUUUCAAUUACCCACUUUGAAGAACAAAUUUAGCGAGAGAUUCCACCCCAGUCAUAGAUGCCAAACGCCUGAUGACAGAGAGUAGACAGGUGUGCUCGGAAACGUGUCGUUUCUAGUCAAAAUAGGGCUGAGGAAUCCAAGGAGGGCAGCAGAGCCACGAGCAGAAAUCCUUUGGCAGAGCGUUUGUGCUCGGCACGCGGAGCAAGGACCUGGACUUGGUGAGAGAGAACAUUUUACCAAAUGGCAAAAGAUGGCUGUGUGGCCAUCGGGGUGACGGUGAGCUCAUGCCGCAGAAGAGGGCUAUCGUUGUAGAGCCUCCUGUGGGUGCUUGACACGGCUAAUAUGUCAUUGUGUUUAAAGAACACCUUUGUGUUGCCCCGUAGAUUCUACAGACAUGGUGUCUCGUGUAUGCCCAGGACAACAAGUCAAAGCACAGGGCUCGGGUGACAGACAUGGAGCAGAGAGCUCUCUGAGCCCUCUGGGUGGACCUUUUAAGCCGAGCCAUUGGCCUGUUUGCUUUUAACCCUUUGCAAAGUGGUUGAGUUGAAAAGACAAGAAGAACUUUUUUUUCUUUCCUUCCCCUCCGAAGGACAAAGACAAGAUGACCCUAAACGUGAGUCUGGAUGCACUGCCCUGGCUCCUGGGGAGAAGACUCCCAUGCUGGGAAGAUCCCUUAGAUCCCGCCACGGGUCUGCGAGACCGCCUGCAGUCGGCUUCGGUCUGGAGGCAGAGGAGGUGGAAACAGCAAGGGCUCAGGUGGUUUCCGUAGGUUUGGCCAUUCCUAUGUAGAGACGGUGGCGUUUUCCGGUCAGAAGCCCGAGCUGUCACACAGAAGCAGGCUCUGCUCUGUCCGACUCACCUAUCUUAUCAAGAAUGAUCAGAUCACUGGAGAGGGCUGCUAAAUAAACACUCUGUGUUUUGAUUAAAGUAUUGGAAAAAUGAAAUCCA